RNAcentral lists this ribosomal RNA (2901 nucleotides) under Klebsiella pneumoniae. RNAcentral describes it as "23S ribosomal RNA". It matches the Rfam family "Bacterial large subunit ribosomal RNA". Lineage: Bacteria; Pseudomonadati; Pseudomonadota; Gammaproteobacteria; Enterobacterales; Enterobacteriaceae. The record is from RNAcentral.
UUAAGCGACUAAGCGUACACGGUGGAUGCCCUGGCAGUCAGAGGCGAUGAAGGACGUGCUAAUCUGCGAAAAGCGUCGGUAAGGUGAUAUGAACCGUUACAGCCGGCGAUGUCCGAAUGGGGAAACCCAGUGUGAUUCGUCACACUAUCGUUAACUGAAUACAUAGGUUAACGAGGCGAACCGGGGGAACUGAAACAUCUAAGUACCCCGAGGAAAAGAAAUCAACCGAGAUUCCCCCAGUAGCGGCGAGCGAACGGGGAGCAGCCCAGAGUCUGAAUCAGCUUGUGUGUUAGUGGAACGGUCUGGAAAGUCCGACGGUACAGGGUGAUAGUCCCGUACACCAAAAUGCACAGGCUGUGAACUCGAAGAGUAGGGCGGGACACGUGGUAUCCUGUCUGAAUAUGGGGGGACCAUCCUCCAAGGCUAAAUACUCCUGACUGACCGAUAGUGAACCAGUAGCGUGAGGGAAAGGCGAAAAGAACCCCGGCGAGGGGAGUGAAAAAGAACCUGAAACCGUGUACGUACAAGCAGUGGGAGCACCUUCGGGUGUGACUGCGUACCUUUUGUAUAAUGGGUCAGCGACUUAUAUUCUGUAGCAAGGUUAACCGUAUAGGGGAGCCGCAGGGAAACCGAGUCUUAACUGGGCGUUAAGUUGCAGGGUAUAGACCCGAAACCCGGUGAUCUAGCCAUGGGCAGGUUGAAGGUUGGGUAACACUAACUGGAGGACCGAACCGACUAAUGUUGAAAAAUUAGCGGAUGACUUGUGGCUGGGGGUGAAAGGCCAAUCAAACCGGGAGAUAGCUGGUUCUCCCCGAAAGCUAUUUAGGUAGCGCCUCGUGAACUCAUCUUCGGGGGUAGAGCACUGUUUCGGCUAGGGGGUCAUCCCGACUUACCAACCCGAUGCAAACUACGAAUACCGAAGAAUGUUAUCACGGGAGACACACGGCGGGUGCUAACGUCCGUCGUGAAGAGGGAAACAACCCAGACCGCCAGCUAAGGUCCCAAAGUCAUGGUUAAGUGGGAAACGAUGUGGGAAGGCACAGACAGCCAGGAUGUUGGCUUAGAAGCAGCCAUCAUUUAAAGAAAGCGUAAUAGCUCACUGGUCGAGUCGGCCUGCGCGGAAGAUGUAACGGGGCUAAACCAUGCACCGAAGCUGCGGCAGCGACACUAUGUGUUGUUGGGUAGGGGAGCGUUCUGUAAGCCUGCGAAGGUGUGCUGUGAGGCAUGCUGGAGGUAUCAGAAGUGCGAAUGCUGACAUAAGUAACGAUAAAGCGGGUGAAAAGCCCGCUCGCCGGAAGACCAAGGGUUCCUGUCCAACGUUAAUCGGGGCAGGGUGAGUCGACCCCUAAGGCGAGGCCGAAAGGCGUAGUCGAUGGGAAACAGGUUAAUAUUCCUGUACUUGGUGUUACUGCGAAGGGGGGACGGAGAAGGCUAUGUUAGCCGGGCGACGGUUGUCCCGGUUUAAGCAUGUAGGCUGGUUAUCCAGGCAAAUCCGGAUAAUCAAGGCUGAGGUGUGAUGACGAGGCACUACGGUGCUGAAGUAACAAAUGCCCUGCUUCCAGGAAAAGCCUCUAAGCAUCAGGUAACAUCAAAUCGUACCCCAAACCGACACAGGUGGUCAGGUAGAGAAUACCAAGGCGCUUGAGAGAACUCGGGUGAAGGAACUAGGCAAAAUGGUGCCGUAACUUCGGGAGAAGGCACGCUGGUGUGUAGGUGAAGCCCCUGCGGGUGGAGCUGAGACCAGUCGAAGAUACCAGCUGGCUGCAACUGUUUAUUAAAAACACAGCACUGUGCAAACACGAAAGUGGACGUAUACGGUGUGACGCCUGCCCGGUGCCGGAAGGUUAAUUGAUGGGGUUAUCCGUAAGGAGAAGCUCUUGAUCGAAGCCCCGGUAAACGGCGGCCGUAACUAUAACGGUCCUAAGGUAGCGAAAUUCCUUGUCGGGUAAGUUCCGACCUGCACGAAUGGCGUAAUGAUGGCCAGGCUGUCUCCACCCGAGACUCAGUGAAAUUGAACUCGCUGUGAAGAUGCAGUGUACCCGCGGCAAGACGGAAAGACCCCGUGAACCUUUACUAUAGCUUGACACUGAACAUUGAGCCUUGAUGUGUAGGAUAGGUGGGAGGCUUUGAAGCGUGGACGCCAGUCUGCGUGGAGCCAACCUUGAAAUACCACCCUUUAAUGUUUGAUGUUCUAACGUUGGCCCCUUACCGGGGUUGCGGACAGUGUCUGGUGGGUAGUUUUGACUGGGGCGGUCUCCUCCCAAAGCGUAACGGAGGAGCACGAAGGUUAGCUAAUCCUGGUCGGACAUCAGGAGGUUAGUGCAAUGGCAUAAGCUAGCUUGACUGCGAGCGUGACGGCGCGAGCAGGUGCGAAAGCAGGUCAUAGUGAUCCGGUGGUUCUGAAUGGAAGGGCCAUCGCUCAACGGAUAAAAGGUACUCCGGGGAUAACAGGCUGAUACCGCCCAAGAGUUCAUAUCGACGGCGGUGUUUGGCACCUCGAUGUCGGCUCAUCACAUCCUGGGGCUGAAGUAGGUCCCAAGGGUAUGGCUGUUCGCCAUUUAAAGUGGUACGCGAGCUGGGUUUAGAACGUCGUGAGACAGUUCGGUCCCUAUCUGCCGUGGGCGCUGGAGAAUUGAGGGGGGCUGCUCCUAGUACGAGAGGACCGGAGUGGACGCAUCACUGGUGUUCGGGUUGUCAUGCCAAUGGCACUGCCCGGUAGCUAAAUGCGGAAGAGAUAAGUGCUGAAAGCAUCUAAGCACGAAACUUGCCCCGAGAUGAGUUCUCCCUGAGACUUUAAGUCUCCUGAAGGAACGUUGAAGACGACGACGUUGAUAGGCCGGGUGUGUAAGCGCAGCGAUGCGUUGAGCUAACCGGUACUAAUGAACCGUGAGGCUUAACCUU